UCCUACGGGGCGCAGCAGUGAGGAAUAUUGGUCAAUGGGCGGGAGCCUGAACCAGCCAAGUCGCGUGAGGGAAGACGGUCCUAUGGAUUGUAAACCUCUUUAGGCGGGGAGCAAUGCCGGGCACGCGUGCCCGGAGGGAGAGUACCCGCAGAAUAAGCAUCGGCCAACUCCGUGCCAGCAGCCGCGGUAAUACGGAGGAUGCGAGCGUUAUCCGGAUUUAUUGGGUUUAAAGGGUGCGUAGGCGGAUUUUUAAGUCAGCGGUAACAUGUCCGGGCUCAACCAGGGCCGGCCGGUGAAACUGGGGG
Molecule: ribosomal RNA, 305 nt
Filed under: uncultured bacterium
Lineage: Bacteria
Description: bacterial SSU rRNA
Rfam family: Bacterial small subunit ribosomal RNA
Source: RNAcentral